This 763-nucleotide long non-coding RNA is filed under the name Gouania willdenowi (blunt-snouted clingfish). RNAcentral describes it as "lncRNA (ENSGWIG00000009213.1)". Lineage: Eukaryota; Metazoa; Chordata; Actinopteri; Blenniiformes; Gobiesocidae. The record is from RNAcentral.
UUUUGAAAGUCAAAUUAAAGCUGCGUAACAUCCUUUUCACUUUGCAUGUGCCUCGGCUACAACCCCUAACCAGUUACUAAUGUAGAGCUGUUCCCUGAUGAGCAUGAAGGAAAACAGGAUGUUGGUCUGUGUGCUUCUCUUGUUCCUGAACUACAACACCUGUCAGGCUUCUGAAAAAGCAUCAGAUAACUCCACACAAAUGUAUUACAUUAAACUGAAAAUCGAUGCAAAUGUACUUCCUAACAUCAGUAAGAUCCUGCAGCCGUUUGUGAGAGAAACCAACGUGCGAGUGGAUGACCUUCGAGUGACGACAAUGUGUGAGAGUGACUCAGGGAGCACAAAGUGUGUGUGUGGGCCCUCACACAAGUGGAGCCAAAGUGUGUGUGGAGCUAAUCUGUGCUGUGACCACAAUGAAUGCAACUUCCCGUCAAACUCUACCUAUGUGUGUAUGUUAAACUCCACAGUCACUAUCGCUGGUUCUUUAACUUUGGAGGGACAGAAGUACAAAGACUGCUUGACUCAAGUGACAUCUAUGGAAUACAAGCACUGCAGUGACUCAGUAUUAAAUGAGAUGAAAAAAGUCUACAGCACAUUGCGUGGAUUUGAUGUUUUAACGAUUACGCAAUUCAGGUUUGGUAGUGUGAUCGUAGAUUUUGAAAUGACAAUUGUUUCUGGCAUCAAAGCAGAAGAAUUGAUAGAAAAAUCACAACGUUUGGCUGAAAGUCUGUCAGGUUCCGUAUAUUUGGAGACCACAGGUAACUAA